CCCGCACAAGCGGUGGAGCAUGUGGUUAAUUCGACGCAACGCGAAGAACCUUACCUGGAUUUGACAUCCCGGGAAUCUUUCUGAAAGGAUUGAGUGCCCUUCGGGGAGCCCGGUGACAGGUGCUGCAUGGCUGUCGUCAGCUCGUGUCGUGAGAUGUUGGGUUAAGUCCCGCAACGAGCGCAACCCUUAUCCCUAGUUGCCAUCAGGUAAAGCUGGGAACUCUGGGGAGACUGCCGGUGAUAAACCGGAGGAAGGCGGGAUGACGUCAAGUCCUCAUGGCCCUUACAUCCCGGGCUACACACGUGCUACAAUGGGUGGUACAAAGAGCAGCUAACUCGCGAGAGUAUGCAAAUCUCAAAAAGCCAUCCUCAGUUCGGAUUGGAGUCUGCAACUCGACUCCAUGAAGUUGGAAUCGCUAGUAAUCGCGGAUCAGCAUGCCGCGUCGAAUACGUUCCGGCCUU
This 461-nucleotide ribosomal RNA is filed under the name uncultured Syntrophus sp. RNAcentral describes it as "bacterial SSU rRNA". It matches the Rfam family "Bacterial small subunit ribosomal RNA", at positions 921 to 1377 of the family's 1533-position model. The record is from RNAcentral. Lineage: Bacteria; Pseudomonadati; Thermodesulfobacteriota; Syntrophia; Syntrophales; Syntrophaceae.